GUGGAUUAGAUACCCUGGUAGUCCUAGCAGUAAACGGUGCACGCUUGGUGUGAGGGGAAUCGACCCCCCUUGUGCCGGAGCUAACGCGUUAAGCGUGCCGCCUGGGAAGUACGGUCGCAAGACUAAAACUCAAAGAAAUUGACGGGGACCCGCACAAGCGGUGGAGUAUGUGGCUUAAUUCGAUGCAACGCGAAGAACCUUACCUAGGCUUGACAUGCAUCUCUAAGCGCGUGAAAGCGCGUGACCCUUCGGGGGAUUUGCACAGGUGCUGCACGGUCGUCGCCAACU
This 288-nucleotide ribosomal RNA is filed under the name uncultured bacterium. RNAcentral describes it as "partial 16S ribosomal RNA". It matches the Rfam family "Bacterial small subunit ribosomal RNA", at positions 773 to 1060 of the family's 1533-position model. The record is from RNAcentral.